ACUGGCCAAUUAUACGCGAACUAUUCACGAAUUACAAAAAAUUUGUAUAAAAUAGUUUAUAUAUGACAUUUUUAAAAAAAUAAGAAUAAUACUUGAAUUUUUGGAUUGAAUUUAUUAUACACGAAUAAUUCGGCCAAAAAAAACACAUAAAAUUUUGGAUAAAAUCAAUUUUCGAAUUAUUUUCAAAUUAUUGCUGAAUUAUUUAUGAAUUAUUGAAAAAUUUAUAAACUUUCGGAAUAUAUGGAUCAUCAGAAAAAUAAUAAUAGAGACGACAAUAAAUUUUACUAUUAUUUUUUUUUACUUUAUCUGCUUUAUUUUGUAGCUUUAUACUAUUAUAUUAUUAAGAAUUUAUAACUAUAUAUAUAUAUAUAUAUAUAUAUAUAUAGAGAGAGAGAGAGAGAGAGAGAGAGAGAGUCUCCUAUACUAUCUAUUGUAUCGGGCCUCCGGUAUUAUAAUCUCGUUUUCGAUCUUCGGACGUUCAAAUCAACGAUCCACACCGUUAAAACUGAUCUAGAAUAUUUAAAGUUUUUAGAAAUAAUAUUUUAUAUUUUUUCAACAUAGUUUACUUUAUGAUCAAACUAUUUCAAAAUUGUCAAUUUUCAAUGGCUACUAUGACGAGUUUAGAGUUUAACGGUGUGGAAGAAUCUAAGUUUCUUCAAAUUUUGAUAGAAAAUACUUUAAACUAUCUAGAUUAAGGUUAAAUUCUUAAUCUUGAAUUUAAAAGUCCUAUGCUCAAAUUUUAANAAUUGGCGAACCUGUUUUUUAAACCGUAUUUUUCAACGAAUUUAAAAAUGAAGAUACAAAUUUUAUUGAAUUAUAUCCGUUCCGAAUUUUUGCUGAAUUCGAAUUAACUAAUUAUGGACACAGGCUGCCAGAAAGAAAAAAAAAAAAUCUAAAUACAUUAGUUAUAUUAUUGAUAUAGGACCUGUUUGGCGUAACUUUUGGAAAAAUGAUUUUCGCAGAAGUGAUUUUUGUUUGGAGAAUUGAUUUUGAUGAAAAGCUGCAGAACGUUUGACUGAGUUUAGAUAAAAAUGAUUUUUCUAAAGUGAUUUUCUAAAGCUAUUUGGCAAAAAAUUUUUGAUGCUUGCAUAUAUUGAUAUUUUUACUAAAUUUUAUUUUAAAAUAAUUUAAAAUUUGACUUUAAAUUAAAAUUCUAAAUUUGAAUUAAAAGUAUAAUUUUUAAAUUUUAAAUUUGUACAAAAAAUAAAUUUAAAAUUUAAGUUUUGAAUUUUAUAAUAUGAAAAUUAAAACUUGUACUUUUAAAAUUUAAAUUUAAAUUUUUAAAAUUUGAAAUGUCAAAAUUUAAAUUUAAUGUUAAAUUUAUAUUGUGAAUCUAAAUAAAAAUAAAAAUUUAAAGUUUGUCCAAAAUCAGAAUCAGUUUUAGAGAAUAAGUUUUUUUCUGUUUUUGAUUUUGGAGCCUUCAAAAUCAGUUUUCUAAUUCUGAAAAGUAGAAUCAGAUUUUUCAUAUAUCGUUUCCAAACGCUUUACUAAGCUUAGAAGUGAUUUUGUGCUGAGAAUCAUUUCUAGAAAUUAGGCCAAACACUCCCAUAGUAUUACAUAAUAGACUUUCUCCCUCAAAAAUACGCAAUUUGAAAAAAAAAAUUAUUGUAUAAUACUUACAACACAUCAUCAAUAACUGGUCAAGCACUUAUCUCUUUCUUUUUUUAAAAAAUAUAAUAAUAAAAAUAUUUUUUUAAAAGUCAAGAUAAAAUCAGGGAAUUCAAAAAAAAUAAUAUUAUUAGUGGGAGAUGUCACAUCUCUCUUUUUCCCAAUUUAGAGACGAACAUAUUCUCUUCGC
Molecule: long non-coding RNA, 1798 nt
Filed under: Ananas comosus (pineapple)
Lineage: Eukaryota; Viridiplantae; Streptophyta; Magnoliopsida; Poales; Bromeliaceae
Description: long non-coding RNA (ACOM_LNC024267)
Source: RNAcentral